ACAUGGCUCCUACCGCCCUGUCAGCGUAGAGCUGAAUGGAGCGUAGGGGCGGCAGAGUUGGUGGGGUCUGCUGAGUGCUUCUGGCGUAGCAGUUCGGCAGUGCCGAGCUGUUUGAAGUCAUCACAGAUAUAAACUGCUUGUCGCAGCAACUCACAAUCGCAUUCCUGCCCGUCAUGUCGAACAGCGGAGCGCUAAUUUCAGUUUGAGGUCUGCACUCUUACUACAAUGCAAAUGGUGACAGCAUCAGGCUGCACUCGGCUGACCCAUAAAUUUGCCCCUGCUCUGCAUUGCCUUGCAUGUUCGGGUCAGAUAAUGGUUCCUGUUGACCUGAUGGACUCCUUUGUUCUCUGCAUUCAUCAUAGGUUACAGUCAUGAAUCAUGGACCAAGA
Molecule: long non-coding RNA, 389 nt
Organism: Ixodes scapularis (black-legged tick)
Lineage: Eukaryota; Metazoa; Arthropoda; Arachnida; Ixodida; Ixodidae
Exons: 3
Source: RefSeq, a predicted model, not a curated record